This 301-nucleotide ribosomal RNA is filed under the name uncultured bacterium. Its description in RNAcentral is "partial 16S ribosomal RNA". It matches the Rfam family "Bacterial small subunit ribosomal RNA", at positions 509 to 808 of the family's 1533-position model. The record is from RNAcentral.
CAGUCGCCGCGGUAAUACGUAGGUGGCAAGCGUUGUCCGGAAUUAUUGGGCGUAAAGCGCGCGCAGGCGGAUAGGUCAGUCUGUCUUAAAAGUUCGGGGCUUAACCCCGUGAUGGGAUGGAAACUGCCAAUCUAGAGUAUCGGAGAGGAAAGUGGAAUUCCUAGUGUAGCGGUGAAAUGCGUAGACAUUAGGAAGAACACCAGUGGCGAAGGCGACUUUCUGGACGAAAACUGACGCUGAGGCGCGAAAGCGUGGGGAGCAAACAGGAUUAGAUACCCCAGUAGUCCCUGUCUCUUAUACA